GGCUUGCUGCGUCCAGCAGGCGUUCACAGCGGCAUUGAAAGUGCUGAGACUCAGCCUUGCUCAAGAGGAGAGAGGGAUGGCAGCCUUGUUGAAGGGAGUGAGAAAGCAGCGCUCCGGUCUUCGGCAGCACUUUGGCGGCGGGUCCUUCACUUGCUCCGGGUCUUCGGUGGCAUUUUGGCAAUGGGUCCUUCACUUGCUCCGGGUCUUCAGCGGCAUUUCGGUGACUGGUCCUUCAUUGCUGCGGAAGACCCAGAGUGAAAACCCAGAGCACCGCUGGGUAGGUCAAUGCCCAUAGACAGAAGCAUCACUAGCAUGACUGUUUUGAUGAGAGAAAACUUGCAAACCUUUUCGGAGGCAAGUGUUCUGUUGCCUGCAAUGAAGUGCAGAGAGCUUCCAGGAUUGCAUUAAUUUUGGUUUAACUUCAACACUUUGUGUGUGUGUAUGUGUGCAUACAGGCCCAUUAUUUGACAAAUGAAUUUACCUCACACAUCUGCCAUACAGAGUCUGCAAAUCUGGGUUCUUAAAGAUGGGUAAAUCAAGUUUCUAGGCUGAGAAGUGAUGAGAAGAACUGCUGUUUGAAACAGUAUUACAGAUGCUAACACGAUGAUUUACCUAUAUUGUAUUUUACUUUUCAAACCUGAUUUUAAAUGUCAGUGUGAAUUGGUUUUCAAAGCUAGCUCUGUUGUUUUGGGUUACUUGUUGGGACAUGCCCCUGAGGUGGGCGAUUAGAAUGUGAGAUUGCACAGAAAGUGCUGAAGCUUAGAAGCACAUGAAAGGGAUUUUGCCCUUUGUCCUUUGGUUUAUCCUUUCUAGAGAUUGAGCAAACCCCAAUAUGAUUAUCAUUUAUUGCAGAUUAAGCACAUAUUGUUCAACACGAUGAACUCCAUGGAGCCCCAGGUGUAGCACGAAGAAAUACUUCCAAGGGAUAGCUUUUCUUUAUGCUUCUGCACAACUAUCUUCUAUUUCUAUUUCAAGUAGAUUUGCACAUGGCUAAUUUAAAACCCCAAAAGAUUUUUUUUUCAAAAAAGAAUAAAAGAUUAGGCCAAGAUGAUGAGUUUUAUAAUUCUUCUAAAGGUCAUAAAUAUGCUGGCCAUUGUAUAGACCUUGCCGAGUCUCUGUGUAUAGAGAAGCUACCCAAGGGAUGGAGAAGCUUUGCUGCAAACGGGGGGUGAAGGGGAAUUCCAGGAUGAAAGGUGCUGUGCUCUGAUCCUGUUUAAAAAAUUAAAAAUGGCUAAUUUACAAUGAUGAGCGAGUCCUGACAACCAUGAAACCCCCUGCUCUGACAACAAAAAGCAUUUCAUUCUCGCAUUUAGUGCAAAGCCAUUUUCUGCCUAGUACCUGUGCUGGUGGCAGCAUGACACAGCUGGGAAACUUGCUCUAGUUACCUAUAAAGAGCUUUCCCAAUAUUCAAACGAACCUGCUCUGGUUAGUUACAAUGCAAUGAUCACAUUUAAUUUAGAUUUUGAAUAUAUGGUAUUGCCUUUGCACAUGUUGCUUUUGGAUUCUGGGACAGAAUAAAGCCCCAUUUAGUGUUCAGAGGGCCUACCACAUACACAGACACUCUAGUCUGAUCAGAAAUGUAAUGCUAACUAUAAUCAUGUGUAUGUAUCUGCUUUGGAUACACGUGUGUUAUAGCACUCUCUCCUAGAUGUGUUUAUAUUAAAGGCUGGUUUUUAUUUUAAUAACUGUCAAAAAUAGGUUGCAGAGUAAAGGUAGUGGCCUAGGACUGCAUAUGAGGCUCAAAGAGCACAAAUGGGCUGGGCUUUGAAGGCAGAAAAGGAGAAACUUGAAUUUGGUGUUUUUUUUAUUUUGUGUGCUGUGCAUUUGCAAGGUGCUGUGCAUCUUGUGGAAGUGAUGGCAGGACUGAGCCUCCAGUGUAUAGGUGACAAGUAAAAGGGACAUUUUAUUAAGUAACAAAAUACAUUAAAAAUAAAGCAAAUGACAGGAUUUAAAGUGAAAAGAGGAGAGUUUGUGACAAGUUGACAAGACCAUUCAGUGCAGUGGGUUCUCUUCAUAGCUAACAUGAAUUUCAGAUCUGAAUACAUUUGUAGUUCUGCUGUGAAUUUGUGCUAAGCAGAAAAGUGAAUGUCCAGUGAUAUUUAUCUCUAUCUUUUCAAUUUUUGAUUAAAUACAAUAAAAUGGGUUUUAAAUGCCCUUGCUCACUUCAGCCUUAGAAAUAAUGUGUGAGACUCUAACACAGGGUCCAUUAGCAAAACUUAGUAAUUUUCUAAAAUUAAUUUUUAAUGAUGAAUGUCUUGUUUUCAGUUGUUAUAUAAAACAUCCUUUGUUUAAAACACA
Long non-coding RNA from Gopherus flavomarginatus (Mexican gopher tortoise), 2298 nucleotides. RefSeq lists it as uncharacterized. The record is from RefSeq and is a predicted model, not a curated record. The transcript has 3 exons. Lineage: Eukaryota; Metazoa; Chordata; Testudines; Testudinidae.